RNAcentral lists this ribosomal RNA (119 nucleotides) under Triticum aestivum (bread wheat). The record is from RNAcentral. Lineage: Eukaryota; Viridiplantae; Streptophyta; Magnoliopsida; Poales; Poaceae.
GGAUGCGAUCAUACCAGCACUAAAGCACCGGAUCCCAUCAGAACUUCGAAGUUAAGGGUGCUUGGGCAAGAGUAGUGCUAGGAUGGGUGACCUCCUGGGAAGUCCUCGUGUUGCAUUCC